This 1008-nucleotide ribosomal RNA is filed under the name Triticum aestivum (bread wheat). RNAcentral's name for it is "partial small subunit ribosomal RNA". The record is from RNAcentral. Lineage: Eukaryota; Viridiplantae; Streptophyta; Magnoliopsida; Poales; Poaceae.
AUGACCCGGGUGCUUGCCGGCUCUGCCCGCCAACCCAGCGACCCGACGCUUGGCCGGUUCCGCCUGCAUCCCGGCUGGCCGGCUCCGCCUGCCAACCCGACGACCCGGCGCUUGGCCGGCUCCGCCUCGCCUGCCGACUCCACCGCGCUCGGCCUCCCCGCCGCCUUCCCCGCGUGCCGGCUCCCCGCCUGGGCCGCCUCGCCUCGCAUCCGGCUACCGUGGCAGCCUCGCCCUGCGCUCCUCUGUCAGCAGGAGAAGAGGAAAAGAUCAGAAAAUAAAAAAGAAGUGCUGCCGUCUAAAAAAAGGAAAAAAGACGUAUGUCCGGCUGCUCCAGCCGCGACCUACCCACGUCACCGUUCGUCCGCCCAGUGCGCCUGCCGGCUUCGAUGCCUGGCCGGCUGGGGGCCGACCCGUUCGCUCGUCUGCCUCGACGCCGGCUGCGCCAAGCCGGCCCAGACGUCAGUCCGCCUCGACGCCCGUUCGGUUGGACCUGACCGGCCGGGACCCCCUUCGAGCACCCGAAAGUUCGAAGGCUACCUCAAGUGGGCGGGACGUGCCGACUGCAAGCCGGCAGCCUGCUGCCAUCGACAACACCUGCCUCGUCUACACGAAAACCAAUGUGAGCUCCUCACCUGCGUAUAUUUUGCACCACGCAAACCGGAUAACCCCGAGCGACACUCGGAGCCCACCUCCGCCUUUAUUACAGUUGCACUACAGUUUGCCCCGGCGCCGGCUAGUCUUGGCCCGGAGGCUGGCCACUCGGCACGAUACGUUCGUUCCCGCAGACGGCUAGUAGCGCACAUGGUAUCGAAGGCCUACUCUCAGCCACAGACCACAACGCGGUUGUCCAGCAAGCGGGAGCAAAAGCUGGAGGUCACCCCGCACGAAAAACGUCCGGGAGAAGACGGCUUGGGCAACCCGGUCGUUUCCUUUAUGAGUAUCUACUCGGUCGAAUCUGCUCCUGUAGUCCGAGUACUGUACGCUCCACUCCACGACCACUCUUCGUAA